Long non-coding RNA from Macaca fascicularis (crab-eating macaque), 2231 nucleotides. The record is from Ensembl. Lineage: Eukaryota; Metazoa; Chordata; Mammalia; Primates; Cercopithecidae.
CAUUUAUUAUUUUUAUUUGGACAACAUAUAUACAUAUGUACAAAAUACCUACUGUCAGAAUCCUCUUUUAUAAUUUCAUUUGAUUUACAAAAACGGGACAGCAAAAUAACUUAGGUCACUAAUACUGUACAAAAAUAAAACUGAUUAAACAGUUGUAAAGAUCAGUAUCUUACAGUGUUACAGAUCAUCUGUUGUGAAAGAACAUCUCAAUCUAUCCAGAGUGAUGAGUACUGUGCUAAAUCUAUCUGCAAACUGACGAACUAAUCAGUUUCUGUAAUUAUAACUACCAAAUAGAAUUCUCAAAAGAAGCAUGAUGUGGAGCUAAACCUUAAAGCCAGGGCAUCAUUCCACAAUGGUGAAGGGCUUUCUUCUUCCCUAACCAAGGAGAGGAGAUAUCUUAACUCUAAAACUAUUAAAUUUUCCAGAAUAUGACAACUACUUACAGUAUUAGAUAAAACAGCUUUUCUUUCGUUUUAAACACCUGCAAUAGUCUUUCAAAAAUUCAGUUUGGUUAAAAAAGUAAACAAAAAUUACUAUCCUGCAUUUGGAUUUUCAUAAGUUAAAUCCAUGGUCUUUUUAAUAUAAAAAGUAAUUGUUUCAUAGUUUUAGUGUUCAACGAACUCUAGUAGUCCUAUUUGAACCAUAUCUUGAUAUAGUAAAUCUAAUUAGAAUGCUGGUUCCUGUUUUGUGACAUUUUAAAACAGGAUUUAAUCACAAAGAAUAAAAAGUAUUGAGUUUAUACGUUACAUUACUAUAACAUAUAGGAGAAUAUCAAAUGUGUGUUUGUCAACAACUUGAAAAGGCAAGUAACAACUUUUUUGGGAAGUAAAUUGUGCAUUUUUUUAAAACAAGUUGCUGCAUUUAUAUCCAUCUAAGUGCUUGACAAAAGCCACAUAUAGAUUUACUCCUGAAACUAUAAAGAUUGUCUUUCACUGACUUUGUUUUCUUUCGUUUCUUUCUGUGAGGGAAAGAUGACUUUUUACAAGUUAGCAAGUUGCUAGGCAACCCCAAACUCCUCACUCACUAAAAGGCAGCGUGCAGAGUAUCAUAAGCAGAACCAUUCCAUGAGCUCAGUAAGAAAUAGGCAGCCUAACCUACUUCGUAUGGAAGAACAGAUGUCCUUAAAACUUAUUUUGGACACAGAAAUUAAAAUUUGGUUUAAAAUAAGUGUUUCAAAAAUCUGAAACAGAGGUAGAAAGUGUUCUUUAUUUUUCCUGACAUGUUUUCUCGUGAGAAAACACUUUCCUUUUUAUCCCAUGGACUGCUCCCAGUCCCUAAUGUUAAAAGCAGUUCUCUUUAUAGAACUACUAAUACAACUACGUUGGUUAAACAAAAAAACACCGUGCUAGUGAUGGCUGUUGUAUUGGAAGUUGGAGUCAGCCGUGACCCGCGCCCACUGCAGGAGCCCACACUGAUUCUGAAUCAGAAACGAGUAUGUGUCAGGUGAAAUAGGUAGGCACCCUAUGUUUACACAACACAUUUCAGAGCACAAGUAUAAACUAGAGUGCACCAUAGCUCCCUGUUUUAAAUAUCAGAUAAAAUCAUCAGAAAGAGUUACUUCUGAAGAAAAAAAAAAUGUAAACAUUUCCCCCAUGAUCACUGCUGACUCCCCUCAUUUGAGGUCUUUUCUUAACUAUGAAAACUCAGUUCACUUUUCUGGCCUCGUAAAGGCCACAGUUAAGUUUUCAGGUAAAUGGCAUAUAUGGAUGUAGUGGUUUCAGCCAUUAUAGACACCUAGAUACAAGACAUAUUAGUGGUGAGGCUACUGAUGUAAAAGAUACAGUGAUGUGAUUUCAUUCGUAGUAUUCCAUGUCGCCUACGUUCUCCAAAAGGGACGAUUUUGCAGAGUCUCCUCUGAAAUCAUCGUGGUAUUUUCCCUUGGCGUUCACUACUUAUAAAGGUUGAUUUUUCUGUUUCUAUUUCAGCUCCCUUUCCUUCUACAUAACUCUUGCACCUGAGAGUGGGAGUUUUGUAGGAACACAGGAAGGAGACCAACAAACCUUUUUCACCAAAAAACUCCAGAUCUCAUUACUAUAUGCACACAUUUACAUAAAACCCAACAGAGUCAAAAGCUCUCUCCCCUAGUGGCAUUAGGAUACAAUAAUGAUGUUAACUAAAAGCAUAGGAAAAUUUGGAAAAGUUAAUAGAGUUAAAAUUCUGUUGGUUCUUUUCUUUUUCUUUUGCGAAACACUACCCUCCUUCUCCUUCAGCAUCUGUUGUGUGUAUUCUGC